AGUGAAGGGCUGAUUUGGAGCAGCCCAUAGUCCCAGGAGGAUGGUGGGAGGCUGUAACAGCCACACGGACUAGCUGGGGAAAGGCCGGGAGGGCUUUCUCCCUCUCUGUGUGAAUGCAGACUGCUGUAUCUGUAGAAGCUGGGAAUAAGAAGCACGGGACAUGGGUGAGAUACUUCACUCCGGUGGGCUAUCUUGGCGUGCAAGGAGUUCAUUCCCAUUUUAAUUUCUAAGGCUUUAUCACAGAGGAUUUAAGCAGCAAUAACUGGAGACAACCUCGGGUCCAAUACCUAUGAUUAUCUCAGAAAGUGGCAAGAAUGCAGCCAGUGAUUUAUAUUCAGGUUCCUGUCGACCAGCACAGGAAGUACAGCACAGCACCAGGGCUGUUCACCACACCUUCCACACACGGCCUUUGGGAGACAUCAGAUCUAAACUGUAACAGGGCUAGGACUCAAACUCAGCCCUGUACACUGGCUAAGAGUUUUGGACAGCUUGAGUUCCAUCCACAGAUCUGAGGCUGACAUUUAAAUAAUGUUCUUUGGGGUGUCCCAGAUUUUCUGUAUUUCGUGGCCCACAGAUCUUUGAUGGGCUCGUAAAUAUGGAAAAGGAACCUGAGGUUAUUCUCCAAGAAGCCUCACUUUUCAGUCCCGAGAGGGGAGGACUCCGCUGUGCGCCAGGAAGUGCCCAGCAAGAUCACACGCUGUCAGCACAGGAGCCGGGCUGUGCAGAGCACCAACGACACCCUUGAAACCAUCUUUAAUGAAAUGUAAACACUGAGUAGCAUGAGGGCCACGGUUUCUGGGUGGGUGGAUCAAACUUUGGCAAUAGAGACUUAGAGGGAAAUUUCUCCAGUUUAACGGCCUCCAGAUGUUCUUCUGGUCCCAGCUGAAAUUUUUUUCAUCAUUUAUAGUUAAUAUUUUUGUCAGCAGCAGCCUUUUGUCAUAAUAUCUCCAAAUUAGUGGUAGUGACCUAUAGUCAUCAGCCAAUCCCAAAUAAGCAUUUAACCUAGGGGGUCACGCACGUGUUCCAUCACAGUUUACUUAAUGAGUAAUUCCUUACCGGGGUCCCCAUGAGGAUGUUCUGUCACACGAUCCUGUCUGGUGACCAGCAGUUACUGAAGUCUUACACAAAAUGUGACAUCCUGCCUUGACAACGGCCGGCAUCACUCCCAACCCCUAGAGCAUGGAAACAAGGCUGUCAGAUGGCAGCUGGGGCAUGAUUUGGGGAGACUAAACUUUUCUACGUGGAAAAGCUCUUUCUCCAUUUAUUUAGUCCUUUAUGUCUUGUAAUAAAAUUUAACUUUCCCCAUAGAGAUCUUGUAUGGUCUUUGAAAAGCCAAGUAUUGACACUCGUAAUUUUUUUUUACUCCUGUGCAUAGUAGCUUCUUUUCUGUUAUAUUUUGUUGUGUUGUGUUGU
Molecule: long non-coding RNA, 1413 nt
Organism: Fukomys damarensis (Damara mole-rat)
Lineage: Eukaryota; Metazoa; Chordata; Mammalia; Rodentia; Bathyergidae
Exons: 5
Source: RefSeq, a predicted model, not a curated record